RNAcentral lists this ribosomal RNA (1342 nucleotides) under Burkholderia sp. MG-2011-155-IR. Its description in RNAcentral is "bacterial SSU rRNA". It matches the Rfam family "Bacterial small subunit ribosomal RNA", at positions 21 to 1361 of the family's 1533-position model. The record is from RNAcentral. Lineage: Bacteria; Pseudomonadati; Pseudomonadota; Betaproteobacteria; Burkholderiales; Burkholderiaceae.
CGCUCAGAAUGAACGCUGGCGGCAUGCCUUACACAUGCAAGUCGGACGGCAGCGCGGGCUUCGGCCUGGCGGCGAGUGGCGAACGGGUGAGUAAUACAUCGGAACGUGUCCUGGAGUGGGGGAUAGCCCGGCGAAAGCCGGAUUAAUACCGCAUACGCUCUGAGGAGGAAAGCGGGGGAUCUUUCGGGACCUCGCGCUCAAGGGGCGGCCGAUGGCAGAUUAGCUAGUUGGUGGGGUAAAGGCCUACCAAGGCGACGAUCUGUAGCUGGUCUGAGAGGACGACCAGCCACACUGGGACUGAGACACGGCCCAGACUCCUACGGGAGGCAGCAGUGGGGAAUUUUGGACAAUGGGGGCAACCCUGAUCCAGCAAUGCCGCGUGUGUGAAGAAGGCCUUCGGGUUGUAAAGCACUUUUGUCCGGAAAGAAAUCCUUUGGGCUAAUACCCUGGGGGGAUGACGGUACCGGAAGAAUAAGCACCGGCUAACUACGUGCCAGCAGCCGCGGUAAUACGUAGGGUGCAAGCGUUAAUCGGAAUUACUGGGCGUAAAGCGUGCGCAGGCGGUCCGCUAAGACCGAUGUGAAAUCCCCGGGCUUAACCUGGGAACUGCAUUGGUGACUGGCGGGCUGGAGUAUGGCAGAGGGGGGUAGAAUUCCACGUGUAGCAGUGAAAUGCGUAGAGAUGUGGAGGAAUACCGAUGGCGAAGGCAGCCCCCUGGGCCAAUACUGACGCUCAUGCACGAAAAGCGUGAGGGAGCAAACAGGAUUAGAUACCCUGGUAGUCCACGCCCUAAACGAUGUCAACUAGUUGUCGGGUCUUCAUUGACUUGGUAACGUAGCUAACGCGUGAAGUUGACCGCCUGGGGAGUACGGUCGCAAGAUUAAAACUCAAAGGAAUUGACGGGGACCCGCACAAGCGGUGGAUGAUGUGGAUUAAUUCGAUGCAACGCGAAAAACCUUACCUACCCUUGACAUGUACGGAACCUUGCUGAGAGGUGAGGGUGCCCGAAAGGGAGCCGUAACACAGGUGCUGCAUGGCUGUCGUCAGCUCGUGUCGUGAGAUGUUGGGUUAAGUCCCGCAACGAGCGCAACCCUUGUCCCUAGUUGCUACGCAAGAGCACUCUAGGGAGACUGCCGGUGACAAACCGGAGGAAGGUGGGGAUGACGUCAAGUCCUCAUGGCCCUUAUGGGUAGGGCUUCACACGUCAUACAAUGGUCGGAACAGAGGGUUGCCAAGCCGCGAGGUGGAGCCAAUCCCAGAAAACCGAUCGUAGUCCGGAUCGUACUCUGCAACUCGAGUGCGUGAAGCUGGAAUCGCUAGUAAUCGCGGAUCAGCAUGCGCG